GGGGAUUUAGCUCAGUGGUAGAGCGCUUGCCAAGCAAACGCAAGGCCCUGGGUUCAGUCCCCA
RNAcentral lists this transfer RNA (63 nucleotides) under Rattus norvegicus (Norway rat). It matches the Rfam family "tRNA". From Rfam's summary of the family: Transfer RNA (tRNA) molecules are approximately 80 nucleotides in length. Their secondary structure includes four short double-helical elements and three loops (D, anti-codon, and T loops). Further hydrogen bonds mediate the characteristic L-shaped molecular structure. tRNAs have two regions of fundamental functional importance: the anti-codon, which is responsible for specific mRNA codon recognition, and the 3' end, to which the tRNAs corresponding amino acid is attached (by aminoacyl-tRNA synthetases). tRNAs cope with the degeneracy of the genetic code in two manners: having more than one tRNA (with a specific anti-codon) for a particular amino acid; and 'wobble' base-pairing, i.e. permitting non-standard base-pairing at the 3rd anti-codon position. The record is from Rfam by way of RNAcentral. Lineage: Eukaryota; Metazoa; Chordata; Mammalia; Rodentia; Muridae.